CCUACGGGUGGCAGCAGUGGGGAAUAUUGGGCAAUGGGCGCAAGCCUGACCCAGCAACGCCGCGUGAAGGAAGAAGGCUUUCGGGUUGUAAACUUCUUUUGACAGGGAAGAGAAGAACACGGUACCUGUCGAAUAAGCCACGGCUAACUACGUGCGAGCAGCCGCGGUAAUACGUAGGUGGCAAGCGUUGUCCGGAUUUACUGGGUGUAAAGGGCGUGUAGCCGGGCUGACAAGUCAGAUGUGAAAGCCGGGGGCUCAACCCCCGCACUGCAUUUGAAACUGUUGGUCUUGAGUGUCGGAGGGGCAGGCGGAAUUCCUGGUGUAGCGGUGAAAUGCGUAGAUAUUAGGAGGAACACCAGUGGCGAAGGCGGCCUGCUGGACGGCAACUGACGGUGAGGCGCGAAAGCGUGGGGAGCAAACAGGAUUAGAUACCCCUGUAGUC
RNAcentral lists this ribosomal RNA (442 nucleotides) under uncultured bacterium. RNAcentral describes it as "partial 16S ribosomal RNA". It matches the Rfam family "Bacterial small subunit ribosomal RNA", at positions 338 to 795 of the family's 1533-position model. The record is from RNAcentral.